This 253-nucleotide ribosomal RNA is filed under the name uncultured bacterium. RNAcentral describes it as "partial 16S ribosomal RNA". It matches the Rfam family "Bacterial small subunit ribosomal RNA", at positions 524 to 776 of the family's 1533-position model. The record is from RNAcentral.
GACGUAGGAUGCAAGCGUUGUCCGGAUUCAUUGGGCGUAAAGAGUUCGUAGGCGGUUUGUUAAGUCUGAUGUUAAAGAUCGGGGCCCAACCCUGGGAGUGCAUUGGAUACUGGCAGACUGGAGUGCAGUAGAGGCAAGUGGAAUUCCCAGUGUAGCGGUGAAAUGCGUAGAUAUUGGGAAGAACACCGGUGGCGCAGGCGACUUGCUGGGCUGUAACUGACGCUGAGGAACGAAAGCGUGGGGAGCAAACAGG